CCUACGGGAGGCAGCAGUGAGGAAUAUUGGUCAAUGGGCGCUAGCCUGAACCAGCCAAGUAGCGUGAAGGAUGACUGCCCUAUGGGUUGUAAACUUCUUUUAUAUGGGAAUAAAGUGCAGUAUGUAUACUGCUUUGCAUGUACCUGAUGAAUAAGGAUCGGCUAACUCCGUGCCAGCAGCCGCGGUAAUACGGAGGAUCCGAGCGUUAUCCGGAUUUAUUGGGUUUAAAGGGAGCGUAGGCGGGUUGUUAAGUCAGUUGUGAAAGUUUGCGGCUCAACCGUAAAAUUGCAGUUGAUACUGGCAUCCUUGAGUACGGGAGAGGUAGGCGGAAUGCGUGGUGUAGCGGUGAAAUGCUUAGAUAUCACGAAGAACUCCGAUUGCGAAGGCAGCCUACUGGCGUGUAACUGACGCUGAUGCACGAAAGUGUGGGUAUCGAACAGGAUUAGAUACCCGAGUAGUC
RNAcentral lists this ribosomal RNA (460 nucleotides) under uncultured bacterium. RNAcentral describes it as "partial 16S ribosomal RNA". It matches the Rfam family "Bacterial small subunit ribosomal RNA", at positions 338 to 795 of the family's 1533-position model. The record is from RNAcentral.